RNAcentral lists this ribosomal RNA (229 nucleotides) under uncultured bacterium. Its description in RNAcentral is "partial 16S ribosomal RNA". It matches the Rfam family "Bacterial small subunit ribosomal RNA", at positions 568 to 796 of the family's 1533-position model. The record is from RNAcentral.
UGCGUAGGUGGCCCGAUUAGUCAGAGGUGAAAGCCCACAGCUUAACUGUGGAAUUGCCUUUGAUACUGUCGGGCUUGAAUUAGGACGAGGUCAGCGGAAUGUGACAUGUAGCGGUGAAAUGCAUAGAUAUGUCAUAGAACACCAAUUGCGAAGGCAGCUGACUAGACCUUGAUUGACACUGAGGCACGAAAGCGUGGGGAGCGAACAGGAUUAGAUACCCUGGUAGUCC